AGAGUUUGAUUAUGGCUCAGAACGAACGCUGGCGGCGUGGAUUAGGCAUGCAAGUCGAACGCGAACGGGACUAGAACAAAUCUUCGGAUGAGGGAAGGUCCCUAGUAGAGUGGCGAACGGGUGAGUAACGCGUGGGCAACCUGCCCUAAAGUUGGGGAUAACACUCCUAACGGGGUGCUAAUACCGAAUGUGGCCACGAGUACACAAGUGCACGUGAUUAAAGGCAGCCUCUACUUGUAAGCUGUCGCUUUAGGAUGGGCCCGCGUCCCAUUAGCUUGAUGGUGAGGUAACGGCUCACCAUGGCUCUGAUGGGUAGCUGGUCUGAGAGGAUGGACAGCCACACUGGGAUUGAGAUACGGCCCAGACUCCUUCGGGAGGCAGCAGUCGAGAGGCUUUGGCAGUGGGGGAAACCCUGACCAAGCGACGCCGCGUGGGUGAUGAAGGCCUUCGGGUUGUAAAGCCCUGUCAUAGGGGAAGAAUAGCGAUGGUGUUAAUAGCGCCGUCGUCUGACGGUACCUUAAGAGGAAGCUCCGGCCAACUCCGUGCCAGCAGCCGCGGUAAUACGGAGGGAGCAAGCGUUGUUCGGAAUUACUGGGCGUAAAGGGCGUGUAGGCGGUCUUUUAAGUCAGACGUGAAAUCUUCCGGCUCAACCGGAAACUUGCGUUUGAAACUGGAAGGCUUGAGUCAAGGAGAGGAAAGUGGAAUUCCUGGUGUAGCGGUGAAAUGCGUAGAUAUCAGGAAGAGCACCAGUGGCGAAGGCGACUUUCUGGCCUUGUACUGACGCUGAGGCGCGAAAGCCAGGGGAGCGAACGGGAUUAGAUACCCCGGUAGUCCUGGCCGUAAACGUUGGGCACUAGGUGUAGGAGGUAUCGACCCCUUCUGUGCCGAAGCUAACGCAUUAAGUGCCCCGCCUGGGGAGUACGGCCGCAAGGCUGAAACUCAAAGGAAUUGACGGGGGCCCGCACAAGCGGUGGAGCAUGUGGUUCAAUUCGAUGCAACGCGAAGAACCUUACCCGGACUUGACAUGUUUCCGACAGGUGUGGAAACACACUCUCUCUUCGGAGCGGUUACACAGGUGCUGCAUGGCUGUCGUCAGCUCGUGCCGUGAGGUGUUGGGUUAAGUCCCGCAACGAGCGCAACCCUUGCCCUUAGUUGCCAUCGGUUAGGCCGGGCACUCUAGGGGGACUGCCGGUGAUAAACCGGAGGAAGGUGGGGAUGACGUCAAGUCCUCAUGGUCCUUACGUCCGGGGCUACACACGUGCUACAAUGGCUGGUACAAAGGGUCGCAAGACCGCGAGGUGGAGCCAAUCCCACAAAGCCAGCCUCAGUUCGGAUCGGAGUCUGCAACUCGACUCCGUGAAGUUGGAAUCGCUAGUAAUCGCAGAUCAGCAGGCUGCGGUGAAUACGUUCCCGGGCCUUGUACACACCGCCCGUCAAGCCACGAAAGCCGGGAGUGCCCGAAGUCGCUUUCCCAACUCUUCGGAGAGGGAGGCGCCGAAGGUGAGCCUGGUAAUUGGGGCUAAGUCGUAACAAGGUAACC
This 1540-nucleotide ribosomal RNA is filed under the name uncultured bacterium. RNAcentral describes it as "bacterial SSU rRNA". It matches the Rfam family "Bacterial small subunit ribosomal RNA". The record is from RNAcentral.